GAGGGUAUAGCUCAAGAGGCAGAGCACAUACUUAGCAUGUAGGAGGUCCUGGGUUCAACCCCCAGAACCUCCU
Transfer RNA from Camelus ferus (Wild Bactrian camel), 73 nucleotides. It matches the Rfam family "tRNA". Rfam says of the family: Transfer RNA (tRNA) molecules are approximately 80 nucleotides in length. Their secondary structure includes four short double-helical elements and three loops (D, anti-codon, and T loops). Further hydrogen bonds mediate the characteristic L-shaped molecular structure. tRNAs have two regions of fundamental functional importance: the anti-codon, which is responsible for specific mRNA codon recognition, and the 3' end, to which the tRNAs corresponding amino acid is attached (by aminoacyl-tRNA synthetases). tRNAs cope with the degeneracy of the genetic code in two manners: having more than one tRNA (with a specific anti-codon) for a particular amino acid; and 'wobble' base-pairing, i.e. permitting non-standard base-pairing at the 3rd anti-codon position. Lineage: Eukaryota; Metazoa; Chordata; Mammalia; Artiodactyla; Camelidae. The record is from Rfam.